AGCGAACAGAUGAGAAGCUUGCUUCUCUGAUGUUAGCGGCGGACGGGUGAGUAACACGUGGGUAACCUACCUAUAAGACUGGGAUAACUCCGGGAAACCGGGGCUAAUACCGGAUAAUAUUUUGAACCGCAUGGUUCAAUAGUGAAAGACGGUUUCGGCUGUCACUUAUAGAUGGACCCGCGCCGUAUUAGCUAGUUGGUAAGGUAACGGCUUACCAAGGCGACGAUACGUAGCCGACCUGAGAGGGUGAUCGGCCACACUGGAACUGAGACACGGUCCAGACUCCUACGGGAGGCAGCAGUAGGGAAUCUUCCGCAAUGGGCGAAAGCCUGACGGAGCAACGCCGCGUGAGUGAUGAAGGUCUUCGGAUCGUAAAACUCUGUUGUUAGGGAAGAACAAAUUUGUUAGUAACUGAACAAGUCUUGACGGUACCUAACCAGAAAGCCACGGCUAACUACGUGCCAGCAGCCGCGGUAAUACGUAGGUGGCAAGCGUUAUCCGGAAUUAUUGGGCGUAAAGCGCGCGUAGGCGGUUUCUUAAGUCUGAUGUGAAAGCCCACGGCUCAACCGUGGAGGGUCAUUGGAAACUGGGAAACUUGAGUGCAGAAGAGGAGAGUGGAAUUCCAUGUGUAGCGGUGAAAUGCGCAGAGAUAUGGAGGAACACCAGUGGCGAAGGCGGCUCUCUGGUCUGUAACUGACGCUGAUGUGCGAAAGCGUGGGGAUCCAACAGGAUUAGAUACCCUGGUAGUCCACGCCGUAAACGAUGAGUGCUAAGUGGUAGGGGGUUUCCGCCCCC
RNAcentral lists this ribosomal RNA (795 nucleotides) under Staphylococcus sp. IMCC1735. RNAcentral's name for it is "bacterial SSU rRNA". It matches the Rfam family "Bacterial small subunit ribosomal RNA", at positions 65 to 840 of the family's 1533-position model. Lineage: Bacteria; Bacillati; Bacillota; Bacilli; Caryophanales; Staphylococcaceae. The record is from RNAcentral.